RNAcentral lists this ribosomal RNA (304 nucleotides) under uncultured bacterium. RNAcentral's name for it is "partial 16S ribosomal RNA". It matches the Rfam family "Bacterial small subunit ribosomal RNA", at positions 509 to 809 of the family's 1533-position model. The record is from RNAcentral.
CAGCAGCCGCCACGGGAAUACGUAGGUGGCAAGCGUUGUCCGGAAUUAUUGGGCGUAAAGGGCUCGCAGGCGGUCUCUUAAGUCUGAUGUGAAAGCCCCCGGCUCAACCGGGGAGGGUCAUUGGAAACUGGGAAACUUGAGUGCAGAAGAGGAGAGUGGAAUUCCACGUGUAGCGGUGAAAUGCGUAGAGAUGUGGAGGAACACCAGUGGCGAAGGCGACUCUCUGGUCUGUAACUGACGCUGAGGAGCGAAAGCGUGGGGAGCGAACAGGAUUAGAUACCCCAGUAGUCCCUGUCUCUUAUAA